Molecule: non-coding RNA, 964 nt
Organism: Doryrhamphus excisus (bluestripe pipefish)
Lineage: Eukaryota; Metazoa; Chordata; Actinopteri; Syngnathiformes; Syngnathidae
Source: RefSeq, a predicted model, not a curated record
CCUAACACGAAGAGGGAAAAGUGACGACGACAAGCUAGAGUGAAGAGAUCGACACGGAGCGCUUGAAGAUAUUUAGUGCAGUUAAUAACUUAAAGUUGAACUAAUUUAGUUACCGGUGGAUGUCGGGGUUGUGGCCCUCCCUGAACAACAUUAGCGGUUGCCUCGUUCGGCGGGAGAGCGGCGUAAAUCUGUGGGGGAGGGCUUUUCUUACAAGUUUCUGAUCUGCUUCGACGUGGGCCAUCUCCGCACUCGGGACCACACGAGGACGUCCGCCAUUGCUCGGCUAAGUGCUGUCAGAGGAUUUGAAAGAAACUACGUCGUUGGAGGAACAGUGAGUAAUCAAAGUUGCCUUGUGGAUUAUAAGAUUAUAAGAGCUCCAACAGAGCGCCAACCUAUGCUACCACAACGUGAACCUUAAAACCUUUUAGUAUGUUAAACUUGUAUAAGGACUUGUCUGUCCUAGUUUCAGGCGAUUUUGUUGGUACCUGUGAAUAUAAUGGGCUAUUAAGACUUGAUUACUGACGUGUGCAUGGUAGUUGAAGCUCACGGUAACAGUACACAGCUAUUUAUUCAGCUGUCCUGGCCUCUCUGCAUCCUAGGUUGCCAUACACCCGUGGGGGUAAGUGCAUGUAUAUACCAGUGUUUUAUAUUUUAGUAGCUCUCACCAAUUCACCUCCCAUGCAAUAUUGUCCAUCAGGUGUCAGUGUGUAUGACAAUUGAAUUGAGUAAGUGGGCUACACUUGUGUAUAUACUGUAUACUUUUAGUGACAUUCUUGUUUGGUGUGUCGUAAGACUUAAUGUAAAACGAUAAAGGUUGGGAAACACUGCAACCAAAGUUAACUUUGAUAUCAUUGUGAGGGCAGCUCUCGUACUGGAUCCCAUUAAAACAUGCAUUUAAACAAAUAACAUUACACAUCACAGACUUGCAUACAUGACAAAAAUAAAUCAGUGUUUUUAACCUUGA